Molecule: long non-coding RNA, 1625 nt
Organism: Podarcis raffonei (Aeolian wall lizard)
Lineage: Eukaryota; Metazoa; Chordata; Lepidosauria; Squamata; Lacertidae
Exons: 3
Source: RefSeq, a predicted model, not a curated record
UAUGCCACACUGACUCUUGUAGAACCUUGGUGUGGUGGCUCUGCAUUUGAUGUCACCAACAGCCAUUGCUUAGCAACGAAAUGUGCGUCCGUUUGAGCUGAGGUUCUUGAGGUUCUUGUAUCCUCAGCACGUACAGGGUUUAGAGAGAUCUGCUGUGGUGAUCUUUGCUUAUUUUGUUGACAAGAUGGCAUCUGACAAACUUCUGGCUCCCUCCCUGGAACUUCCAACAUCCAUGUUGGGUCCACUGGUGGCAGUUUCAUGCCUUUGUGCCUUGGGUCCUGACAUGGAAUGCCACCAGCAGGCUGCACAAACCCUCUGAAAUAUCCUGCCCAGGAAAGAAGUACAGAUCACCUGCAGUGGCCACAAACCAGCAAGGUCAACAUCAGAGGAUCUGGAACUACAACCAUCCUCUGCGUAAGACAGCAACUCCGGAAACAGAAGAUUCCAUGAACGGCUGUUAUCUGCGAAAGAGACCCACUGCUUAUGCCAAGUAGACACCUCUGCCCUCGAACCAAAAAAUUGUGGUGACUUCGAUACCUUGAUAUACAACUGUUAACACCUCCAGCCUUUGUUUAUCUCGCAUCAAUUGCCCACUUUUGCCAGUGGCACACACACACAUGAGCAUGUCUUCCCCCAUUCUGCCGGACCCGCAUGUCAGCAAUUGCACAUCAAUUGGACGCUCCUCAAAUGGUUGGUGCUAUUUUCCAGAACACUGAUUGUAUGUGUGUAUGUAUGCUCUUGUUGACCAUUUUUUAUUAUUAUUUCAGGGUUCUAGUUUUUUUUGCCAAAUCUUUUUUAUUGAUUUUCAAUUUUUUUUUACGAACCGGCCACCAACUGAAAGAAAUUUAACAUUUUUCCAAAGAAAAACCAGUUUAACAUUUUUCCAAAUCUGACUUCCUGCACACCCUCCUGGAUAUGUCAAUAGUUCUUAGUGCUGCAUCAUAUUCCCCAAUUAUUUCUAGUUUGCCUUCAAACAUUACAAAUAACCUUCCAGUACAUUAUAUUUUAUUUUAAAAAACAACAACUCCUUUUCAAACAGCUAUCCAUCAAUCAAUUCCUGCACAUAUAUUAAAUUAACAUUUCCAAUUUCAGGGAGUGAGGUUACUUAUCAGAUUAUCAGUCCCUGCUGAAUUAUUGAACAAUAUUAUAUAACAUUAAAUAAAAAUUCCUCUCCUUUCAUCUGCGUGUAUAAUCUUCUUGCUGCUCAACUCCCUUGUCCCUCGUCGCAUUUAAACGGGGGUCUUUUUCUUUUCUUUUUUACAGCAGGAACUCAAAGGUCGACCAUCUCGCUUGGUGCAUUUUCCAACCAUCCCAUAAUUGGCGGCGGCGGGGCGGGGCGGGGCGCGGUAACCACUUUCUCCUUCACAGUUCAAGUUCUUAUUACAGCCUCUCCCCGUGAUCCGAGGCACUCGAGCAGAUUUGCCCCACCGUUAGACUUUCCAGUUCUCUGUGCAAAAAAAUCUGCUCCUUUCUGGCCGGUUUGCUUUUAAUUCCUCCAUCAUAAAUUGUCCAACGAUCCAAAUUUUAAUUUGCUUCCUUAUAGUUCAUUAAUACUUUUGUCGUCCUUUAAUCCCAUCAAUCUGAAACCUCCGGGUAUAGGGCGGUAUAUAAAAUUCAAUCAAUCA